GAUGAACGCUAGCGGCAGGCCUAAUACAUGCAAGCUGAACGGUAAAUAUUGUAGCAAUACGAUAUGAGAGUAGCGUAAGGGUGCGUAACACGUAUGCAAUCUGCCCUGUACAGGAGAAUAGCUCGGCGAAAGCCGGAUUAAUACUCCGUAAUAUUAUUGGAAGGCAUCUUUUGAUAAUUAAAGUCGCAAGACGGUAUGGGAUGAGCAUGCGUCUGAUUAGCUAGUUGGUAGUGUAACGGACUACCAAGGCGAUGAUCAGUAGGGGAACUGAGAGGUUGAUCCCCCACACUGGCACUGAGAUACGGGCCAGACUCCUACGGGAGGCAGCAGUAGGGAAUAUUGGUCAAUGGGUGAGAGCCUGAACCAGCCAUGCCGCGUGCAGGAAGAAGGCCUUCUGGGUUGUAAACUGCUUUUGCCGGGGGAGUAAAAUUCCCAUGCGUGGGACAUUGAAGGUACCCGGUGAAUAAGCCACGGCUAACCACGUG
Molecule: ribosomal RNA, 485 nt
Filed under: uncultured bacterium
Lineage: Bacteria
Description: bacterial SSU rRNA
Rfam family: Bacterial small subunit ribosomal RNA
Source: RNAcentral